This is a non-coding RNA of Cajanus cajan (pigeon pea), 417 nucleotides long. The record is from RefSeq and is a predicted model, not a curated record. NCBI's taxonomy places the organism in Eukaryota, Viridiplantae, Streptophyta, Magnoliopsida, Fabales, Fabaceae.
CUCAAAAUAAAAUACCUAAUGAAAGAAACUGUAAAUUAAAUUAACUUGUUGUUCAGGCCGGUGCAAUAUGGGGCUUGUGCGCUGGUCCCUACGACGCUCGUAAACAAGGUCUUACAGGCGUUGCUAAAGCUUCUUUUGUGGCGAACUCAGUUGGCAGUUUUGGGUUUCGAUGCGGAUUUGUGGCUGGCUUUUUCAGUAUUACUCGAUGAGGGGUUCAGAAUAAUAAGCACAAGUAGAUACAAAAUUGGCAAAAUAAUAAAAAAUAUCAAUGUCACAUUAUGCCUAGAUAGUAGAUACAUCAUAUCCUGGGAGGCUAGGAGGAUCCUCCAAUUUUUUUUAUUUUUUAUUUUUUAACUUUGUUGAUCGUUUAGGGUACAACUUGGUUGUGCCAUACAAAGAUAUGAUUUAAAACAAAUA